Molecule: non-coding RNA, 76 nt
Organism: Podarcis lilfordi (Lilford's wall lizard)
Lineage: Eukaryota; Metazoa; Chordata; Lepidosauria; Squamata; Lacertidae
Source: the annotation of a GenBank genome assembly
GUUCUCCAGUGGCGCAGUGGGUUAGUGAGUCUAGCUCUUAACCAGAAGGUUGGUGGUUCAAGCCCACCCAGGAAUG